GAUGAACGCUGGCGGCGUGCCUAACACAUGCAAGUCGAGCGAACAGACGAGGAGUUUGCUUCUUCGACGCUAGCGGCGGACGGGUGAGUAACACGUAGGUAACCUACCUAUAAGUCUGAGAUAACUUCGGGAAACCGGAGCUAAUAUCGGUUAAUAUGUAGAACCGCAUGGUUCGAUAGUGAAAGAUGGCUUUGCUAUCACUUAUAGAUGGACCUCAGCCGUAUUAGCUAGUUCGUACGGUAACGGCUUACCAAGGCAACGAUACGUAGCCGACCUGAGAGGAUGAUCGGCCACACUGGAACUGAGACACGGUCCAGACUCCUACGGGAGGCAGCAGUAGGGAAUCUUCCGCAAUGGGCGAAAGCCUGACGGAGCAACGCCGCGUGAGUGAUGAAGGUCUUCGGAUCGUAAAGCUCCGUUAUUGGGGAGGAAGAAACGUAUAAGUAACUGUGCACGUCUUGACGGUACCUAAUGAAAAAGCCACGGCUAACUACGUG
Molecule: ribosomal RNA, 497 nt
Filed under: uncultured bacterium
Lineage: Bacteria
Description: partial 16S ribosomal RNA
Rfam family: Bacterial small subunit ribosomal RNA
Source: RNAcentral